GAUGAACGCUGGCGGCGUGCCUAAUACAUGCAAGUCGAGCGAACAGAUGAGGAGCUUGCUCCUCCGACGUUAGCGGCGGACGGGUGAGUAAUACGUGGUUAACCUACCUAUAAGACUGGGAUAACUUUGGGAAACCGGAGCUAAUACCGGAUAAUAUAUUGAACUGCAUGGUUCAAUAGUGUAAGACGGUUUUGUUGUCACUUAUAGAUGGAUCCGCGCCGCAUUAGCUAGCUGGUAAGGUAACGGCUUACCAAGGCAACGAUGCGUAGCCGACCUGAGAGGGUGAUCGGCCACACUGGAACUGAGACACGGUCCAGACUCCUACGGGAGGCAGCAGUAGGGAAUCUUCCGCAAUGGGCGGAAGCCUGACGGAGCAACGCCGCGUGAGUGAUGAAGGUCUUCGGAUCGUAAAACUCUGUUAUUAGGGAAGAACAAAUGUGUAAGUAACUAUGCACGUCUUGACGGUACCUAAUCAGAAGGCCACGGCUAACUACGUG
This 497-nucleotide ribosomal RNA is filed under the name uncultured bacterium. Its description in RNAcentral is "partial 16S ribosomal RNA". It matches the Rfam family "Bacterial small subunit ribosomal RNA", at positions 28 to 507 of the family's 1533-position model. The record is from RNAcentral.